This 565-nucleotide ribosomal RNA is filed under the name uncultured archaeon. Its description in RNAcentral is "bacterial SSU rRNA". It matches the Rfam family "Archaeal small subunit ribosomal RNA", at positions 313 to 879 of the family's 1478-position model. The record is from RNAcentral.
CAAUUCGCCCUUACGGGGUGCAGCAGGCGCGAAAACUUUGCAAUGUGCGAAAGCACGACAAGGUUAAUCCGAGUGAUUUCUGCUAAAGAAAUCUUUUGCUAGUCCUAGAAACACUAGUGAAUAAGGGGUGGGCAAGUUCUGGUGUCAGCCGCCGCGGUAAAACCAGCACCUCAAGUGGUCAGGAUGAUUAUUGGGCCUAAAGCAUCCGUAGCUCGUUUUGUAAGUUUUCGGUUAAAUCCAUACGCUUAACGUAUGGGCUGCCGGGAAUACUGCAUAACUAGGAAGUGGGAGAGGUAGACGGUACUCGGUAGGAAGGGGUAAAAUCCUUUGAUCUAUUGAUGACCACCUGUGGCGAAGGCGGUCUACCAGAACACGUUCGACGGUGAGGGAUGAAAGCUGGGGGAGCAAACCGGAUUAGAUACCCGGGUAGUCCCAGCUGUAAACUAUGCAAACUCAGUGAUGCAUUGGCUUGUGGCCAAUGCAGUGCUGCAGGGAAGCCGUUAAGUUUGCCGCCUGGGAAGUACGUACGCAAGUAUGAAACUUAAAGGAAUUGGCGGGGGAGCAC